RNAcentral lists this ribosomal RNA (253 nucleotides) under uncultured prokaryote. RNAcentral describes it as "partial 16S ribosomal RNA". It matches the Rfam family "Bacterial small subunit ribosomal RNA", at positions 524 to 776 of the family's 1533-position model. The record is from RNAcentral.
UACAGAGGGUGCAAGCGUUGUUCGGAAUUAUUGGGCGUAAAGGGCGCGUAGGCGGUUCGGCAAGUCUCUAGUGAAAUCUCUGGGCUCAACCCAGAGCCUGCUGGGGAAACUGCCGGGCUGGAGUAUGGGAGAGGUGAGUGGAAUUCCGAGUGUAGAGGUGAAAUUCGUAGAUAUUCGGAAGAACACCAGUGGCGAAGGCGACUCACUGGCCCAUUACUGACGCUGAGGCGCGAAAGCGUGGGGAGCAAACAGG